UUAUGGCCAUAUCGCAGUGAAACACUGGUUUCUAUACAAUCUCCAAUGUUAAGCAACAUCGAGCCUGGUCAGUACCUCAAUGGGUGACCACUUGGGAAUACCAGGUAGUGU
Non-coding RNA from Acanthosepion pharaonis, 111 nucleotides. Lineage: Eukaryota; Metazoa; Mollusca; Cephalopoda; Sepiida; Sepiidae. The record is from the annotation of a GenBank genome assembly.